Molecule: ribosomal RNA, 253 nt
Filed under: uncultured bacterium
Lineage: Bacteria
Description: partial 16S ribosomal RNA
Rfam family: Bacterial small subunit ribosomal RNA
Source: RNAcentral
UACGUAGGGGGCUAGCGUUGUCCGGAAUCAUUGGGCGUAAAGCGCGCGUAGGCGGCCAGAUAAGUCCGGUGUGAAAGUCACAGGCUCAACCUGUGAAUGCCGCUGGAAACUGUCUGGCUAGAGUCCGGAAGGGGCGAGUGGAAUUCCUGGUGUAGCGGUGAAAUGCGCAGAUAUCAGGAGGAACACCGAUGGCGAAGGCAGGCCUCUGGGCAUUAACUGACGCUGAGGAGCGAAAGCAUGGGGAGCGAACAGG